This 553-nucleotide ribosomal RNA is filed under the name uncultured archaeon. Its description in RNAcentral is "bacterial SSU rRNA". It matches the Rfam family "Archaeal small subunit ribosomal RNA", at positions 326 to 879 of the family's 1478-position model. The record is from RNAcentral.
CGGGGUGCAGCAGGCGCGAAAACUCUACAAUGCAGGCAACUGCGAUAGGGGAACAUCGAGUGAUCCUCAUAUUGGGGGUCUGUCCCACCGUCUAAAAAACGGUGGUUAGCAAGGGCCGGGCAAGACCGGUGCCAGCCGCCGCGGUAAUACCGGCGGCUCGAGUGGUGGCCGAUAUUAUUGAGUCUAAAGGGUCCGUAGCCGGCUUUGCAAGUCUCUCGGGAAAUCCAGCGGCUUAACCGUUGGUCGUCCGGGGGGUACUACAUUGCUUGGGACUGGGAGAGGUAGGAGGUACUCAGGGGGUAGGAGUGAAAUCCUGUAAUCCUCUGGGGACCACCGGUGGCGAAGGCGUCCUACCAGAACAGGUCCGACGGUGAGGGACGAAAGCUAGGGGCACGAACCGGAUUAGAUACCCGGGUAGUCCUAGCCGUAAACGAUGCUCGCUAGGUGUCACAACAGUCGUGAACUGUUGUGGUGCCGUAGGGAAGCCGUGAAGCGAGCCACUUGGGAAGUACGACCGCAAGGUUGAAACUUAAAGGAAUUGGCGGGGGAGCAC